Molecule: ribosomal RNA, 940 nt
Filed under: Strongyloides stercoralis
Lineage: Eukaryota; Metazoa; Nematoda; Chromadorea; Rhabditida; Strongyloididae
Description: 16S ribosomal RNA
Source: RNAcentral
UAUUUUUAUGUUGAAUAUAUGUUAGUAUUGCAUACUAUGUUAGGAUAUUUUCAAAGUUUUGAUUAAUAGAAAUAGAGUGUUUAAAUUGUAGUUUGUUUUUUUGUUACAAAAAUAAUUUUACUGCUUUUAGUGUUGAAACAUCGAACUCUAUGAUAUCUGUUUUAUAUUAACAUAUUAGAAAAUUAUAUGUGAUUAUGUUUUUUUUUAGUUUUAAUAAUUUGAAGUUUUUUUGUUUUAAGUUUUAUAACUUUACUACUUUAUUAUUUUUUCUUUUAUUUUUGAUUAUAAGGCUUUAUAAUCUUUAUUAUCUAACAAUUAGUAAAUUAAUAAAUUAUGUUUUUGUUUUUAAUAUAAAUGAAUUACUAAUUAUCCGAUCAAAUGUUUAUUAAAGACUUAGGAUUUAUAUUAAAUCUGCCUUCUGCCCUAUGAUUUUUUUAAAUGGCAGUCUUAGCGUGAGGACAUUAAAGUAGCAAAAUAAUUUGUGCUUUUAUUGGGUUCGAGUAUGAAUGAAGUUUUGGUUGGUGAUAUUUUUUUUUUUUUUUGAAUUUAAUAUAUAUCUAAGAAAAGAUAUUUAUAAUAAUACAAAGAUAAGUCUUCGGAAAUUUUAUUUCUAAAUUAUAUUUUUUGAUUUAGUAAUUUAUCUAGGGAAGAUUAUUAUAUAAUUUUUUUUUACUAUUUUUAAUAAAAAAAAUUACUCCGGAGUUAACAGAAAAACAUGCCUUAUAUAGUUCUUAUAUUUUGGUAAGUUUUACAUCGAUGUUGUAUCUUUAUUAGCUGAAGAGGAGAAAUUUCAGUUUUUUAGACUGUUCUUCUUUUAAUAAAUAAAACGUGAUAUUAGUUUAAUUCAUCGUGAGAUAGAAUUGUUUAUCUUGUUUAUUAUUUUUUUUUACCGGGAUUAGUACGAAAGGAAUUUCAUUAUAAUUUUAAAUUUUUUAAUUUU